AUAUAAACUUUUUCCAAAGUCUCUUGUAGACAAUCCAUGCAUACCACCCCAGAAUAAAUGGUUGAGAAUUUGAGAUGAUCAGAAGUUCAGAAUUUCACUUAAUCCAAUAGAGUUUUUGGUUUGGAGUACCAUGGUUUGGGUCCCGCCAUCUCUCUCUCAGUGGAAAGUGGGUGCUUUCUGAUUUUUUUAAAAGUUGAAACUUGAUGGUAGGGAAGCUCUUUCUCCGACUCACUUCAAAGAGCUUCUUAAAUGGGGUGUUAGGGAUCUCUCUCUGAUAUUUUUGAGUAAAACUAGGGUUUUAGAGCUCUCUCAAGGCGGUUGGUGCUAAUCAUGAAUGGGGCCUCAAGCCUUGCGCACCUAUGCAAUACUCCUUCUUCCAAACCCUAUUUUUGGACUUCAAUGCUUUCAAAAGGUUCAUUUUCCUUUUUGGAAACGCAAAUUUGGUCUAGAUUGAGUUUUCGUAGGGAAGUCCAAAUAGCUACAUGUAUGGUUGUUGGUGGGAGCUAUAUUUCCACACCUGUGCAACAACCCAAAAUUGCUUUCAAGGACAAACCUCCGCAAAAAUUGGAGAAAACUGGAGCAUUCCAAAAGUUACCCAUGGUGUUGCCUUCAAAUGACUUACUUCUUUCGGCGUUGAAAAAAGCAAAGAGGGUUUCUCCUACAAAGGGCAUUGCAAAUAUAGCAAAACGAGAGAGAAACAGAGGUGCCAGACAACUUGAUCAAUUGAUGAAAGAAUUAGCUGUUCCCUUGAGAGGUUAUGUGAAGAUGUUCCCCUACAAACGUUCUCUGCAUCCUUAUGAGCAGUCUCUUAUUGAACUGACACUUGGAGAAGGAACUUAUGAAGAGGUCUUGGGGAGGGUAGAUACCAUAAGGAAGAAGGUUGUAUCUGUUGGAAAAGAACAAGCUUCUUUGUGUGCAAAGUCAUCAUCGAAACGUGAAGCAGAAGAUCGCUUGGGUGAGGGACUAAGAAGGAUUGAAGAAAUCUUUCAACGGGAAGGAAAUGCUGUGGAUGAUCUAGUAAACGUUGCUAAGGCACUGCGUGUUAUGCCAGUAGUAAACCCUGAAAUCCCCACACUGUGUCUUGUUGGGUCGCCAAAUGUGGGAAAAUCGUCUUUGGUCCGUGUUCUUUCAACUGGAAGGCCAGAGGUUUGCAACUAUCCAUUCACAACCAGAGGCAUUCUGAUGGGUCACAUCGUUCUCAAUUAUGAGCAAUUUCAGGUGACUGACACACCCGGCCUUUUGAAGAGACCUGAAGAUGAAAGGAACAACCUGGAGAAGUUGACACUUGCUGUCCUCAUGCAUUUGCCAACAGCCGUUCUGUUUGUCCAUGACCUAUCUGGUGAAUGUGGUAGCUCGCCCUCUGAUCAGUUUGAAACAUACAAAGAGAUACGAGAAAGGUUCCCUGAUCAGCUUUGGCUUGAUGUUGUUUCUAAAUGUGAUCUUUUGCCUUAUGACAUCACAUCAGAGAAAGGGAAUAUUGAGGAUGAUGAACUGGAGAGGUAUAAGAGAGCUGGACCUGAAGGAGCCAUCCAUGUUUCAGUGAUGAGUGGGAUAGGGAUUGACAAGCUUAAGAGCAAAGUUCAUGACCUCCUGUUAUGUCAGUUGGCUCGAAUCACUACUCAGAGAAACCAAGAAGCUGAAGUGGAGAAUCCCUGACAUUGCUGUCCUGUCAGUUGUCUUGACUGACUAGAGAGCGAAUGCACUUGAGUUGAGCAAAAUAUGUAGAGGCGAUGAUGAGGAGAGUUACAUGAGGGGGUGGGAGAAAAGUGCGUUAUCAGUGAGAAACCGAUGGGCAGUGGAGAAGCUCAAGGGCGAGAAAACAGGAACAACAAACUUAAAAUCACCGGGAAAGGAGGCAUUGCAUUGUAGUAGUCUCCCCAAUAUGCUUUAUCUGCAAACUAAUAUUCUUGGUGAAAAAGACAGCUUGGGGGUGUGUCAAGAACUUUGAGAAUGCUUUGAACUUAGUCAAUUAUAUACUCACAACUGCCUGAUCUGAAAUCCGAUUGGCAAGAGUGAUUGUGAUCUCUUUAUAUCAAUAAUAAAUGAUUUGUUAGAAUAUUUUGCUUUUUUUAUUAUUUACACCAGAUGUAUUAUUCCA
RNA transcript from Amborella trichopoda, 2098 nucleotides. It is a transcript of the gene named P-loop containing nucleoside triphosphate hydrolases superfamily protein, with no coding region annotated. The record is from RefSeq and is a predicted model, not a curated record. NCBI's taxonomy places the organism in Eukaryota, Viridiplantae, Streptophyta, Magnoliopsida, Amborellales, Amborellaceae.